GAUAAACGCUGGCGGCGUGCCUAAUACAUGCAAGUCGAGCGAACGGACGAGAAGCUUGCUUCUCUGAUGUUAGCGGCGGACGGGUGAGUAACACGUGGAUAACCUACCCAUAAGACUGGGAUAACUUCGGGAAACCGGAGCUAAUACCGGAUAAUAUUUUGAACCGCAUGGUUCAAAAGUGAAAGACGGUCUUGCUGUCACUUAUAGAUGGAUCCGCGCUGCAUUAGCUAGUUGGUAAGGUAACGGCUUACCAAGGCAACGAUGCAUAGCCGACCUGAGAGGGUGAUCGGCCACACUGGAACUGAGACACGGUCCAGACUCCUACGGGAGGCAGCAGUAGGGAAUCUUCCGCAAUGGGCGAAAGCCUGACGGAGCAACGCCGCGUGAGUGAUGAAGGUCUUCGGAUCGUANAACUCUGUUAUUAGGGAAGAACAUAUGUGUAAGUAACUGUGCACAUCUUGACGGUACCUAAUCAGAAAGCACGGCUAACUACGUGCCAGCAGCCGCGGUAAUACGUAGGUGGCAAGCGUUAUCCGGAAUUAUUGGGCGUAAAGCGCGCGUAGGCGGUUUUUUAGUCUGAUGUGAAAGCCCACGGCUCAACCGUGGAGGGUCAUUGGAAACUGGAAAACUUGAGUGCAGAAGAGGAAAGUGGAAUUCCAUGUGUAGCGGUGAAAUGCGCAGAGAUAUGGAGGAACACCAGUGGCGAAGGCGACUUUCUGGUCUGUAACUGACGCUGAUGUGCGAAAGCGUGGGGAUCAAACAGGAUUAGAUACCCUGGUAGUCCACGCCGUAAACGAUGAGUGCUAAGUGUUAGGGGGUUUCCGCCCCUUAGUGCUGCAGCUAACGCAUUAAGCACUCCGCCUGGGGAGUACGACCGCAAGGUUGAAACUCAAAGGAAUUGACGGGGACCCGCACAAGCGGUGGAGCAUGUGGUUUAAUUCGAAGCAACGCGAAGAACCUUACCAAAUCUUGACAUCCUUUGACAACUCUAGAGAUAGAGCCUUCCCCUUCGGGGGACAAAGUGACAGGUGGUGCAUGGUUGUCGUCAGCUCGUGUCGUGAGAUGUUGGGUUAAGUCCCGCAACGAGCGCAACCCUUAAGCUUAGUUGCCAUCAUUAAGUUGGGCACUCUAAGUUGACUGCCGGUGACAAACCGGAGGAAGGUGGGGAUGACGUCAAAUCAUCAUGCCCCUUAUGAUUUGGGCUACACACGUGCUACAAUGGACAAUACAAAGGGCAGCGAAACCGCGAGGUCAAGCAAAUCCCAUAAAGUUGUUCUCAGUUCGGAUUGUAGUCUGCAACUCGACUACAUGAAGCUGGAAUCGCUAGUAAUCGUAGAUCAGCAUGCUACGGUGAAUACGUUCCCGGGUCU
This 1370-nucleotide ribosomal RNA is filed under the name uncultured bacterium. RNAcentral's name for it is "bacterial SSU rRNA". It matches the Rfam family "Bacterial small subunit ribosomal RNA", at positions 28 to 1381 of the family's 1533-position model. The record is from RNAcentral.